AAACUUGGCUUUUUGACCCAAAUACGCUAUAUUAAAAGAGUCAGGAGCAAUCCUGACUAUGACGAUAAACGCGCUGCGGAAUAGGCGAUACGGACCCGGGGGCGGUACCCGGCGGCUCCACCAGCCUUCGCCGUGAUAACGGCAAGGCUGUCACGCCGAAGCUCCUUUUGGAGCGAAGGCGGACUGGUGCGACGUAGAACUCUGAGGCUUCGGCUCGGCGAGCCAUCUCUUUAGAGCAAUGCGGCGAAGACUAGUGGGGCCGAAAUAGGAUCGACGUGCGUAGUAAAGGUGGUUGCUUUCGUCCGGCAUUGUACCGCCGUUAUCGGGCUACUUUUACAAAUGCUAACGACAACGCACCCGCAAGGGUCGAACUCCGUCUCGCCGCUUAAUCGCGACCUGACGAGUUAGCAAUACAAUCCCCUGACCAGCAAUGGACAGGGUGGGGCGUGGGGGCAGGCCUAGCAACAGAACUGCCCCCAUU
RNAcentral lists this transfer-messenger RNA (481 nucleotides) under Alphaproteobacteria bacterium. It matches the Rfam family "Alphaproteobacteria transfer-messenger RNA". Rfam says of the family: Bacterial tmRNA, also known as 10Sa RNA or SsrA, is named for its dual tRNA and mRNA-like properties. Its role is to liberate the mRNA from a stalled ribosome. The record is from RNAcentral. Lineage: Bacteria; Pseudomonadati; Pseudomonadota; Alphaproteobacteria.